This 330-nucleotide ribosomal RNA is filed under the name uncultured Rhizobiaceae bacterium. RNAcentral describes it as "bacterial SSU rRNA". It matches the Rfam family "Bacterial small subunit ribosomal RNA", at positions 1051 to 1382 of the family's 1533-position model. The record is from RNAcentral. Lineage: Bacteria; Pseudomonadati; Pseudomonadota; Alphaproteobacteria; Hyphomicrobiales; Rhizobiaceae.
GUCGUCAGCUCGUGUCGUGAGAUGUUGGGUUAAGUCCCGCAACGAGCGCACCCUCGCCCUUACGUUGCCAGCAUUAGUUGGGCACUCUAAGGGGACUGCCGGUGAUAAGCCGAGAGGAAGGUGGGGAUGACGUCAAGUCCUCCAUGGCCCUUACGGGCUGGGCUACACACGUGCUACAAUGGUGGUGACAGUGGGCAGCGAGCACGCGAGUGUGAGCUAAUCUCCAAAAGCCAUCUCAGUUCGGAUUGCACUCUGCAACUCGAGUGCAUGAAGUUGGAAUCGCUAGUAAUCGCGGAUCAGCAUGCCGCGGUGAAUACGUUCCCGGGCCUU